UUAGAUUGGGGAAUGUGGAUCUGCUGUACCCUAUUGGUAGAGUUUGGUGAAAAAUUAUUGCUCUUGUAGAUGCCCUUUAUCUUUCAGCUUUUCCAAUAAUUAUUUUUGUAGAACUUAAUAGAUAAAAUUGUUUCAUUUUCUAGAUGAUCUCAACCAUUCCCACAUGUUCUUAUGCUUGGUUAUUUGUCCAUUCUUAAUUUAUACUUAAACAAAUGCAUCAAAUGAAGUUUGAUUAUAUCUUAUUUCAGC
Molecule: long non-coding RNA, 249 nt
Filed under: Setaria viridis
Lineage: Eukaryota; Viridiplantae; Streptophyta; Magnoliopsida; Poales; Poaceae
Description: long non-coding RNA (SVIR_LNC001707)
Source: RNAcentral